AAAGUCGUAACAAGGUUUCCGUAGGUGAACCUGCGGAAAGGAUCAUUAUCAAAAGUCAAGUCGGGGGCUGUAAAGCUCUCGUCUACACCCCAUGUCUUUUGCGUACUCUUGUUUCCUCGGUGGCGCAAGCUGCCGAUUGGACAAACCAAAACCUUUUUUGUAAUUGCAAUCAGCGUCUGAAAAUAAUCUAAUUAUUUACAACUUUCAACAACGGAUCUCUUGGUUCUGGCAUCGAUGAAGAACGCAGCGAAAUGCGAUAAGUAGUGUGAAUUGCAGAAUUCAGUGAAUCAUCGAAUCUUUGAACGCACAUUGCGCCCCUUGGUAUUCCAUGGGGCAUGCCUGUUCGAGCGUCAUUUGUACCCUCAAGCUUUGCUUGGUGUUGGGCGUCUUGUCGUAUUACGACUCGCCUUAAAUUCAUUGGCAGCCGGCACUUUGGCCUAGGAGCGCAGCACAUUUUGCGAUCGUAGCCCGUUGUACUGGCGUCCAUCAAGAACAUUUACCACGUUUGACCUCGGAU
RNAcentral lists this ribosomal RNA (517 nucleotides) under uncultured Alternaria. RNAcentral describes it as "eukaryotic LSU rRNA". The stretch from base 200 to 353 matches the Rfam family "5.8S ribosomal RNA". Lineage: Eukaryota; Fungi; Ascomycota; Dothideomycetes; Pleosporales; Pleosporaceae. The record is from RNAcentral.